AUAUUGCACACCUGCGGGGGGAUGAGAAGCCCCGACCGGGGUUCGACAACUGGCGCAGCCAGCUGGACAGAUGACGAGCCCGCGAGGAAUCUACCCGCAGGGCGAGCGAAGCGAGUCAAUCCCCCCCUCACCGCUA
RNAcentral lists this small RNA (136 nucleotides) under Citrobacter sp. TBCS-15. Its description in RNAcentral is "RtT sRNA". It matches the Rfam family "RtT RNA". From Rfam's summary of the family: This family represents a bacterial cis-regulatory element known as RtT RNA. The exact function of RtT is unknown although it is thought that it may be involved in changing the cellular response in relation to amino acid starvation. The record is from RNAcentral. Lineage: Bacteria; Pseudomonadati; Pseudomonadota; Gammaproteobacteria; Enterobacterales; Enterobacteriaceae.